Molecule: long non-coding RNA, 1427 nt
Organism: Alexandromys fortis (reed vole)
Lineage: Eukaryota; Metazoa; Chordata; Mammalia; Rodentia; Cricetidae
Exons: 4
Source: RefSeq, a predicted model, not a curated record
UUGAUCCUAGCCCCUUCGGCCCUUUCUUCUGGAAGGUUCUCUCCUCCAGCGAUUUGUUUGAGAAGAAGCAGAGAUUUGGAGGUGAAGUCCAAGCUGCCUGCAGAUUUACCCUUUCUUGCUUUGUUCUUUAUGACUGUAUCUCCUUGUUGUAUUUUAAAUAAAGGGGCUGGCACCUAGACCAGAAUUAGUAGAACUUUGCAUUGUUUCAGUUCUUACCCCAGUUCAAGUCUCCGUCAGUCCCACUUCAAAUCCACAAACCCCACAAAACCCGUGUUUCAUGAAAACAUUGUCAUGAUCCUAACGUUCUUCUCCAUGGACAUAAAACCUCUCUCACCCUUCAUCACUUUUCCUUGUCACUUUGCUCCUCUGUAAAGUACUCAGACGGUCCUAAGUAUUUGGUGAAUGAAUUCACUCCUUCAAGAAUAAACAAAUACUAUAAUGGGUGAACGACCUUCUUGAAACAUUAGCAAGACAGCGUGGCACCCUAAGAACGGAGUGUGGGUGAAAUGCUCUGGAUUGCACGCGCGAGAAGCCUGCCUUCCCUAGACAAGGGAACUCAUUAGCUCACCAGAGUCCAAAGUUGUAAAGAUCCAGGAGAACUAGGAGGGAUGUUCACUCCUGAUGAGGGCCAUGGCCUUAUGUGAGUGUAGAGCUCUUGGCUCACCUUUGCCCCAGUCCGCAGGCUGACUUUUUUCCCUUCUAUUCACAACUGCAAACAUUUGCCCUUCCCAGGGUCUGUUUUCUUAGCUUCCUGAGCUUUGUAGGUCUCAUUAGAUUUCUGAGUUUUAUAAGAUUCCCCUCCUGCGCUCCGACAGCGUUUCAAUGUAGAGGAAAUGGCUACAAGCGUCGUCCUUCAUCACUCAUUGUUGAUGGUUAGUGGGUAUCAACUGGGUGCCAGGCAUUCCGCCAGGCCCUGGGAAAACAGCAGAGAAUGAAGCAAGCGAAAUCCAGGCAACCAAAAUAAGGGAACGCAGAAAUGUCAAGUAAGGGUUUCUCUGUAACCACCCUGGCUGUCCUAGAACUCGCUUCCUAGACCAGGCUUACUUCUGGCUCCUGAGUGCUGGGAUUAAAGGCACAAAGCCGAGCCACCAAGCCCAACAAUUCGGCAUCUGUUUUCAAGAGACCUUAUUUUGAGGGCUGGCUGUGAAGACAUCUGUCUUUACUGGAGCUGCCCCAGAGGACCGUACCAAAUCCAGGCUAUGGACUCCCGCGGUUUCGGCUGGCAUUGAUUACAGAAGGCUUUUAAUUUCCUCCAUUGAGGCCACAUUACCCAGGUCUACAUUUCCUCAGCAAGUUCUGACACAGCACGUUGUCAUUUCUACCCUUCCUCAGUUUGCCGAUCCCCAAAAUGGGAGUGCUAUUUCUCCUGUGCUUCCCAAGGCGGCUGCACCCAAGCCUAGACAGUCUUGGACAAUCUUAGCAAUAAA